Ornithodoros turicata is the source of this 135-nucleotide long non-coding RNA. RefSeq lists it as uncharacterized. The transcript is spliced from 3 exons. The record is from RefSeq and is a predicted model, not a curated record. NCBI's taxonomy places the organism in Eukaryota, Metazoa, Arthropoda, Arachnida, Ixodida, Argasidae.
GCCUAAAGGAAAGAAGAGAGGCUUUCACUAUGCUCCAAAGAAGAUUCCUCCUCCGCCACAAUUGCCACUUCGAUCGUGCAAGCCCCGCCACAGCAUUGCUCAGCCACAAGACUCGAGGCAGAUGUACAGAUCAAC